CCCUUAGAUGUUCUGGGCUGCACGCGUGCUACACUGAUAUUGCCAAUAUGUCAUUCUUAUCCGAAAUGGAUUGGGUAAUCAAGUAAUGAAAUUUCAUGCUUGGAAUCGGUAAUUGCAAUUUUAUCGUGAACGAGGAAUUCCUAGUAAGCACUAGUCAUCAGCUAAUGUUGAUUAUGUCCCUGCCCUUUGUACACACCGCCCGUCGCUACUACCGAUUGAGUGAUCCGGUGAAUUAUUCGGACUGCAACGCAACCAGUUCCUGGAUGCAGUUGCGGAAAGUUUUGUGAACCUUACCACUUAGAGGAAGGAGAAGUCGUAACA
RNAcentral lists this ribosomal RNA (321 nucleotides) under uncultured eukaryote. Its description in RNAcentral is "partial 18S ribosomal RNA". It matches the Rfam family "Eukaryotic small subunit ribosomal RNA", at positions 1470 to 1796 of the family's 1831-position model. The record is from RNAcentral.